RNAcentral lists this long non-coding RNA (1070 nucleotides) under Fragaria vesca (wild strawberry). Its description in RNAcentral is "long non-coding RNA (FVES_LNC004671)". Lineage: Eukaryota; Viridiplantae; Streptophyta; Magnoliopsida; Rosales; Rosaceae. The record is from RNAcentral.
AGGCAACCAUCCUAAUAUGACCUGUCCUAUGACUCCCUUUUGGGCUACAGCAAGUUCACACUGAACCAUCCACUACGCCAAUGACGGAAAAGACUCCCUUUCGAGCUACAGUGGUUCACUUUAAACCUAAGUUGCACAGACACGGACACGAACACGGCAACACGGCAAAACUCAAAAACUGAGUUUCCGGCACGGCAAACAAAAUUAUAUAUUUAUGUAUUUUUAAUAAAUAAAAAAUAUACUAAAAUAUGAAAUAAGUUCAUUACAUUACUAAAUAAAGUUUUAAAUUCAAUCUAUUUCAUAACCAUAAGAAAUAAGUCAAGUGCAUAACUAAUAACAUUAAAAGCAGCAGACCUUUAGCACCUAAAACAUAACAUUAAAGAAAAACAAACUUGAGCAGUAGUUUGUUUUCAAACAAGGCAAUCUUUAGCACAGUAGCACCUAAUAGACAAGAAGAUGAACUAAUAUAAUUAUCAUAUCCGUAAUUCAUCCUAAACUUUUUUUUUUAUUUUAAGACUAAAACGUUGAUGUGGCAUGUUGCAAUGCCGUGUCAGGGCCGGUCAACAUGUCCGAAAAUUUAAUGCCAUGUCGGGGGCGGUUAACGUGUCCGAAAAGUCAACUUUUUCGGACACGCCACGUGGCGUGUCGGACACGUAUUUUUCCGUGUCGGCAUGUCGGAUGUUCGACACUCCGACACUCCAGGGGUGUGGAGUGUCCAUGCAACAUAGCUUUGAACCAAGGAAGAAAAUUUCGAUGAUUACAGAAAUUUCGACCCUCCAAAAUAUGGAAAUUUCGGGAAAAUAUCGAUUACAGUAAAAAAAUGAGAAAAUUGACGGAAAUUUAAAGAAAAACAAGGAAAUUUUAAACCAAACUUUAAGAGAUGUUUGUUUUCUAUAUUAUGUACUAUAUUUGAAAUGAAAACUUUGAAUAAACAUUGAUCUAUAGAGAGUAGUAAGUUAAGGUGAAAAGGUUAGUGCUGAACCGUUAAUAAUUCUUAAAAAUUUACUUUAAAUAUCUUUUUUUUAAAAGGUAGAUAUAUUAAAAAUAAAUUAAGAAGUGUAGGUAAAAAA